This is an RNA transcript of Ostrea edulis (European flat oyster), 1006 nucleotides long. RefSeq lists it as uncharacterized. The record is from RefSeq and is a predicted model, not a curated record. The transcript is spliced from 2 exons. NCBI's taxonomy places the organism in Eukaryota, Metazoa, Mollusca, Bivalvia, Ostreida, Ostreidae.
UCCCUGAUAAGAAGGGCGAAAGGGACAAAAACAAAACGGGGACAAACAUUUCCCAGUAUACAAUAUGUAAAUAAGUGAAUUAAGAAGACUUGGUUACUUCCGGCUUUCACUGUUAUAUAAUGUAGAAUAUAUCUUUUAUUUCAGCUUAUGCAGUUGGCUUCUUAAUAACCUUUGUUGCACUCUAUCUCAUGGGCAAGGGCCAACCGGCUUUAUUGUAUCUUGUGCCUUGUACUCUUGGUACGACAUUUGUGAUUGGCUGUUUACGAGGAGAGGCCCGUUCCCUCUGGGCUGGUAUUUCUAAGCAGCGAAAUACUGCGAAACCUCAAAGUGAAAUCAACACAGGGACACCUGUUACAACAGCCAAGUCAGCGGACCAGAGCAGCAGUGACGGUUCUUCUGACGGAGGGAGUGAGAGCAGACUGUUGAUAAACACCAGGAAAUAACAAUACAGGAGUGGUUCAAUGAAAAAUAAAAGAUAUUUUGUAGGAUAUACGGUGUUAAGGUGUGCUAUGUGUAGAAUUUCAAUAUAUAUCUUUGUUGACUGACUACAGAACACUAUACCGGAUUCUUCCAAUUAUUUCCCUAACAAUGAUAAAAUGGGCGCUUGAUAACUACAUGUAUAUAUUUUACGUGAUUUGAAACAGUCGUACGUAUGAUAUACAUGUGUGUAGUUACUGUAAUAUUGUUUUACUGUAGACAUACUUUUUUCCGCGUGGUAUUAAUUUACGCUAUGAACGCGGUAACUGAUUUUCCGCGGAAAUUUGUCACAGCGUACUUUGUAAUCAUACAAAGAAUCCGCGUAAUCUUUUACCCGUGGAUUAAACUGAUAUUGUGAUUUCGCGUAAUUAUGAACCCGUGGAAAAAAGUACGUUUACAGUAUUUGGAAAUACAUUUAGUAACAUAAUUUUUGUUUGUUUUCAGUGGAACUUAUUUUCUGUUUUGGCCGGUGUGUAAUAAAAUUACAGGACGAUUGUGAAAUAUAUUCCGAUAAAUUUGAUAAACUGAU